AGAACGAACGCUGGCGGCGUGGAUAAGACAUGCAAGUCGAGCGAUCACUUCAGGGUAGCAAUAUUCUGGAGUGGGAGCGGCGCAAGGGUGCGUAACACGUGGGUAAUUUGCCGAGAAGUUUGGGAUAACUCGCUGAAAGGCGAGCUAAUACCGGAUGUGAUCAUCGAGCGGCAUCGUUUGAUGAUUAAAGUUGGGGACCGUAAGGCCUGACGCUUCUUGAUAAGCCCGCGGCCUAUCAGCUAGUUGGUGAGGUAACGGCUCACCAAGGCUAAGACGGGUAGCUGGUCUGAGAGGACGACCAGCCACACUGGAACUGAGACACGGUCCAAGACACCUACGGGUGCAGCAGUCGAGAAUUUUCACAAUGGGACGAAGCCUGAUGGAGCGACGCCGCGGUGGGGAGUGGAAGGUCGUUCGGCGUCGUAAACCCCUGUCUAUUCGACGAACCAACCUUAGACUUAAGUUAAAAGAGUA
RNAcentral lists this ribosomal RNA (474 nucleotides) under uncultured soil bacterium. RNAcentral's name for it is "bacterial SSU rRNA". It matches the Rfam family "Bacterial small subunit ribosomal RNA", at positions 26 to 477 of the family's 1533-position model. The record is from RNAcentral.